Molecule: long non-coding RNA, 2181 nt
Organism: Ailuropoda melanoleuca (giant panda)
Lineage: Eukaryota; Metazoa; Chordata; Mammalia; Carnivora; Ursidae
Exons: 5
Source: RefSeq, a predicted model, not a curated record
UAGCUGGUAAAGACCUUGAACUCCAGACAGAAAGUGGGGCUGUCUCCUGGAGGUCAGGGGAAGCCAUAGAGGGUGUGUGAGCAGGGAGCAGAAAGAAGCCCUUGGGCAGCCACUUCUCCUUUGGAGUCUAGUUCCUCAUCAGGACAUGGGAGUGUUGAAACCCACCACCCCCAACCAACACACACACCAUGAGGUCACUGGGGACUGUGUGUCAAAGGACUUAGCAUACACUGACUGUGUGGCAGCCACUCGGUGACCUUGGCUCAUUAUACUGGCUCUUUCACUGCCGCCAGUGUCCCUGCUUACAGAUGGGGAUCCUGAGACUCAGCAAAAAAGCAGAAUGGAACCCAGGACCCCGAAGGGUGGGGUCCGUCAGUCUGUCUAUCCUAUCCUUCUCAUGAUGUGGAGUUUCCAGGGGAUUCCCCACCCAGAACGCAGAGCCUUCCAGAAUCUGUCACGAGGAACCAGGCACUUAAACAUCUGACCAAGGACAGACAACUCGGACCCACGUCAGCCAACGUUCCAGCUGCUGGGCCGGACUAGAGAGUGAACCUGUGAAUAGCCUGGAGCCCCAGAGGUGGGGCCAGGGACCUUGUCCCCAACAGCUGUGUCCCUAUGUGACGCUCGCUGGUCGUUUGUUCAACAAGGGAAAAAUACUAAGGACCAUCCCACACAUUCGCGAUUUCCUCGUGCCUCAUUUCAGCCCCAACCCACUGUUGAUGACAGCUGCCGGUGACCCGUCCGCGUCCCCGCAGGCCUUGGAGGAUGCCGGCCAUUCAGUCACGCAGUCCGGGGAGGCAGAGAAUGCGGUGCAGUCCGGGAGGCAAGGCCCCACCUGCUUACACCCUCGGGGCCCGGAUGUGCCCCCACCCGCUCUGCGCUACCCUGAGACCAAGGCAGGCCUGCCUGACCAGGACUUCGAGGCUCCCAGCAAAUCAAGGUGAUUCCCCGCUGGACGCUCCCACUUUCCAGAUCUGAGGAAGCAAGGCCGGAGAGGGUGAGUCCUCAGUCACUCUCCUGGCCCGUUAGCCACAGACCCACCCGUGUCCCUCCUUACCCCACUUCCAGCUCCAGUGACCCACAGGCCUGGUGGCCCCAACGGGCCCAGUCGCUGGGUCUUGGUUUCGGAAUCCCCUUGCCCAGCAGCCGGGAAGACUGAGAGCUGAUGCCCUUGAAGCCGCUGCAGUGGCUCCUGGGAGAUUUCCUGACCUGCCUACUGACCAUGGGCGGACUUGGCGCAGGCGGCUGGCCCUUCUGAGCCAUAGCAUCCUCAUCUGCAAAGGUGGAUGGGGUCAGGGGCCAGCUCCUGACUCACUUCCAACAUCAGCGCCACUGUGGUCUUCGUGGUUCUGUACUUCCUGACAGCCCUCAGCUGGGAUUUCCAAAGGGGCAUGCAUGGAACAUUCUGGGACCUCCAAAAGGCGAGGGCUCAUGGAUUUUGACUCAUUUGGAGGAGCUGACCUCGGGGAGCCCACCUCCUCGGAAACUGCUCAGGGUACCUGGGAUGCGUCCGGGUGGGGAUCGGUGGCUGGAUCGGAGACCCCGGCCCUAGCUGAGCCUCAAAAGGGCAUCUCUGGACUGCUUUCCUAGCUGGAGGAACUCAGGUUUCCUGGGCCCUGCCUCUGGGGACUGCCUGAAGGACCCCCACAGGUUCACGCUGCUCAGAGACCUCCUCCAGGCCUUCUGCUGGAGCCCUGCAGCCUUCACAACAUUAUUUCUCUCACGCAAAGAUAAAUACCACGAAUGAGAACGCAAUGAGCCACAUAAUCAGGAUUAAAGUUAACACAGCAGUCCUGUGUGUGGUCUUUCGGCCAUCUGCUCCUUUACCCACCACACCUGCGCCAGAAGGAAGAAAUGUGCAUUAUAGACUCCCUUUGGAGGAACCAUCAACUGGCAACAAUUAUCAAUGACAUUACCCCAAAGGGGGGAAAAGGUGGACAUGGCAUCUCCCAUAAGAAGUCAACUACCCCUGGAACUCAGCCAAUAAACUGUCAUCACCCUGAACUCUUCCUUCUCUCCAAUGGACUUAAGUUCAGACCAACCUCUCCCAACUUCCUUCUCAUAAAAUAACGUGCCUCUCCUUUGUUUAUGGGACAUGCCUGUGGUUUUGCUACAGCCUGCAUGUCCCAAACUGUAAUUCCUCUGCUAUUCACAAAUAAAUCCAUUUUGCUGGCAAAACAA